Molecule: non-coding RNA, 817 nt
Organism: Nelumbo nucifera (sacred lotus)
Lineage: Eukaryota; Viridiplantae; Streptophyta; Magnoliopsida; Proteales; Nelumbonaceae
Source: RefSeq, a predicted model, not a curated record
CGCCGUCUGUGGGAAACGCUACAAAAAAACUAAGUUCCCAUCCUUCGAAAGGCUAAGUCCUCUUCUUCCACAAAGCUAAGUUCUCACAUUUUAGAAACUAAAAGCUCUCACUUUCUAGUUUCCAACAGACUAAGCAGCUCUACCAACUUUAUUUUAACUCGGAUAAAGCCUCAUCAGUCCUCUUUGCGAGGUACCUUUAACAAAUAUAGAACCUCUUAGAAAGAAAGGAAGAAAGCAAAAAGAAAAUCUAUUAGAAAGUGGAUCACUCAAGUGAAAGAAGCAUAUUUGACAGAGACGUGAGGGAAAUCUGAUAUGUUGACAAAAAGCUUCCCAUCUCCUACAGCCAUUAAACCAAACCUCUAACCCCUCGCUGAACCAUUGGCCCUUCCGACUACCAUCCAUUACUGACCUAGAAGCAACUAAUGUUGACCUCUUUGCAAGCCUCGAAGAUCUGAGCUGGUGGAAGAAAUGGGAAACUCUACCCUCAUAACAACAAUAGAUUGUUGCCAUUGCCUCUCUUGUCAUCCAGAAGGACAGCCUAGCUUUGUCAGUUCAACAACAGAAUCUGAACUAUGGGCAAUUGUAAGAGGCUUAAGAAAACUCAUCUCCCUCAAAAUAUCCAAACCUUAGUGGAGCACAUCAAGCAUCUAACAAAUUUUUCCAUUACUAUCAAGACUAUAUAUGUAAAUAGAAAAGAAGUGCAAGUAGCUCAUGUAAUGGCUAGAAAGGCAAAACUCUUGAGGACUCUUGUCCAAUGUUUAGAGAAUUGGACCAGGCAUAGAACGAAAUAAGGGAGAGGUUCAUGGGUUAGAGGUUU